UGCUGGCGACCGGCGCACGGGUGAGUAACACGUAUCCAACCUGCCCUUUACUCGGGGAUAGCCUUUCAAAAGAAAGAUUAAUACCCGAUGGCAUAAUGAUUCCGCAUGGUUUCAUUAUUAAAGGAUUCCGGUAAAGGAUGGGGAUGCGUUCCAUUAGGUUGUUGGUGAGGUAACGGCUCACCAAGCCUUCGAUGGAUAGGGGUUCUGAGAGGAAGGUCCCCCACAUUGGAACUGAGACACGGUCCAAACUCCUACGGGAGGCAGCAGUGAGGAAUAUUGGUCAAUGGGCGCUAGCCUGAACCAGCCAAGUAGCGUGAAGGAUGAAGGCUCUAUGGGUCGUAAACUUCUUUUAUAUAAGAAUAAAGUGCAGUAUGUAUACUGUUUUGUAUGUAUUAUAUGAAUAAGGAUCGGCUAACUCCGUGCCAGCAGCCGCGGUAAUACGGAGGAUCCGAGCGUUAUCCGGAUUUAUUGGGUUUAAAGGGAGCGUAGGUGGACUGGUAAGUCAGUUGUGAAAGUUUGCGGCUCAACCGUAAAAUUGCAGUUGAUACUGUCAGUCUUGAGUACAGUAGAGGUGGGCGGAAUUCGUGGUGUAGCGGUGAAAUGCUUAGAUAUCACGAAGAACUCCGAUUGCGAAGGCAGCUCACUGGACUGCAACUGACACUGAUGCUCGAAAGUGUGGGUAUCAAACAGGAUUAGAUACCCUGGUAGUCCACACAGUAAACGAUGAAUACUCGCUGUUUGCGAUAUACAGUAAGCGGCCAAGCGAAAGCAUUAAGUAUUCCACCUGGGGAGUACGCCGGCAACGGUGAAACUCAAAGGAAUUGACGGGGGCCCGCACAAGCGGAGGAACAUGUGGUUUAAUUCGAUGAUACGCGAGGAACCUUACCCGGGCUUAAAUUGCAGUGGAAUGAUGUGGAAACAUGUCAGUGAGCAAUCACCGCUGUGAAGGUGCUGCAUGGUUGUCGUCAGCUCGUGCCGUGAGGUGUCGGCUUAAGUGCCAUAACGAGCGCAACCCUUAUCUUUAGUUACUAACAGGUUAUGCUGAGGACUCUAGAGAGACUGCUGUCGUAAGAUGUGAGGAAGGUGGGGAUGACGUCAAAUCAGCACGGCCCUUACGUCCGGGGCUACACACGUGUUACAAUGGGGGGUACAGAAGGCAGCUAGCGGGUGACCGUAUGCUAAUCCCAAAAGCCUCUCUCAGUUCGGAUCGAAGUCUGCAACCCGACUUCGUGAAGCUGGAUUCGCUAGUAAUCGCGCAUCAGCCACGGCGCGGUGAAUACGUUCCCGGGCCUUGUACACACCGCCCGUCAAGCCAUGGGAGCCGGGGGUACCUGAAGUACGUAAACGCAAGGAUCGUCCUAGGGUAAAACUGGUGACUGGGGCUAAG
Molecule: ribosomal RNA, 1387 nt
Filed under: uncultured organism
Description: SSU rRNA
Rfam family: Bacterial small subunit ribosomal RNA
Source: RNAcentral